Topomyia yanbarensis is the source of this 689-nucleotide long non-coding RNA. RefSeq lists it as uncharacterized. The record is from RefSeq and is a predicted model, not a curated record. The transcript is spliced from 2 exons. Lineage: Eukaryota; Metazoa; Arthropoda; Insecta; Diptera; Culicidae.
CAUUUCAAAUGAAUUUUGUCUCUGGCCGAUUUUUGAUGCGGCUUAGGCCCUUUUGCCGAGAUACAAUAGAAUUCGCUCUCGUCCAAUCGCUGUUCUGUCACGACCGGUUAUGCGGCAGCUAGCUUCAGUGCAAUCGCCAACGAAUCGAGCUGCUAGAGUACCGUAAAAAUGGGAACAUCGAUGUCCAAAAAAGAGCAGCGAGCCGCGGAUAUUCGAAAUUCUUUGUCAUUUUACAACCGAAAACAUGAUCCAUGGGGGUCUGAUCAUCGAGCAGCGGCUGUGUUCAGUGGUGUUCAGCGGAACAAUCGUCGUCGAUCGGGUUCCGCCGGUCGCGGUUGCUUGGGCUGGUUAGUUGUGUUACUGGCAGUCGGAGCAUCUGUCUGGUAUACAAGGAGGUGGAUGAAGCAAAGAACACAAGAGUUUUCUGCUUAUUUCCCGAUGUCCACAGUAAUUUGGCGAGAUGAUUCCCCGCUCGCGCAGUACGUGAGCUUCACGCUCAAUUAUUGUGUUUCGUUGUGGCAGAGCUUGGUGCAACUUUGGAAAGAAAAGCUUUCAGAUAUGACAAAUAAACUGACAAGGUGGUUUUAAUGGUACCGACACAAUUUGGUUGUGAUUAUGUCCGCGGACUGGGUCGUCUAUUUAUGUUAAGUAAAUACAUCGUAUUUCUAUUUUGUUUCGUUAAAAUUUAA